GUGCUUGCUUCAGCAGCACAUAUACUAAAAUUGGAGUGAUACAGAGAUUAGCAUAGCCCUUGCAUAAAGAUGACACACAAAUUUGUGAAAUAUUCCAUAUAUUU
Molecule: small nuclear RNA, 104 nt
Organism: Monodelphis domestica (gray short-tailed opossum)
Lineage: Eukaryota; Metazoa; Chordata; Mammalia; Didelphimorphia; Didelphidae
Source: Ensembl